Molecule: unclassified non-coding RNA, 978 nt
Filed under: Rhagoletis pomonella (apple maggot)
Lineage: Eukaryota; Metazoa; Arthropoda; Insecta; Diptera; Tephritidae
Description: uncharacterized LOC118734329, transcript variant X1
Source: RNAcentral
AUAUGUUAAAAAACCAACACAUAUCCUCCAACAAAUUGUAAAUAGUGUAAAUCAAGACAGUUUCAUAGUAAAGGAAAAGCCGAAAGGGUUCAAAGUUUUCAAAAGUAAGGGCUUAUGCUUCUUUUUUAAAGACAGUAUAUUUACGUCAAAAAAACCUGACUGCUUCUGUCUCAUAAGACCUUAUAUACCGAUAGAAAUUCAAGGGUUUUCAAGUGACAGAGAGUUAGUAAUAGGGAAAAAGUUUAAAAAUUUGAGAAGUUUUUUUUUUGAUCCAAUUGAUUCCAUGACUAUAGGGAUAUGCUUGGCAGACACCUCACCAAAUGACGUUGAAAUUAUGUAUUCUAUCGAGGAUAUAGAGUGUAAACUGAUAGGUCUUCCAUAUGAGAAUAACAUACUUUUGCUACCAUUGCUACAUUGUUAUUAAUCACUUUCAUAUAACCACUUUAAUAAACGCUUCCAGCUGUAAAAAUACAUAUACCCUAACAAUGCCUAAAGACAUAAAACGCGUACGAUUUGCAAACAUGGAGAACACACCAUCAUGUUCUAAAAAGCCAGAAUGCGAGGAUUGCAAGUCUUUUCAUAAAAAACUGACAACUUUGCAAGAAUCGGUUGAAAGCUUGAAACAUGAACUUAAAUCUUGUAUGACUUCGCAGAACGUUGCUGUAAUGUCGGCGCUGGCGGAGCAAAAAAAGAUUUAACAAAUAUUAACCAUAAAGUCAUACCAGGAACUCGCUCUAUUAUGAUAUCCACAAUCAGAAGUAUGCUUCAGUACUCUAUUAGUAAAAACCUAAAAAACGUUUUUACUAACGAUAUAAUAAUGAAUUAUAACGUUGAUGGAACUCACGGCAAGAAGAGUCUCAAAGAGUUCAAAAAUUUUUAUCAAGUAUUAACAGAAUCAAUAACAAGCUUGAGUAGCCCGGACGACCCGGAAACGCAGCUGAGAAAAGCACUUCAACUAAACAAAAAGCGUUUUUUUUU